UACGUAGGGUGCGAGCGUUGUCCGGAAUCACUGGGCGUAAAGGGUGCGUAGGCGGGUCUUUAAGUCAGGGGUGAAAUCCUGGAGCUCAACUCCAGAACUGCCUUUGAUACUGAAGAUCUUGAGUUCGGGAGAGGUGAGUGGAACUGCGAGUGUAGAGGUGAAAUUCGUAGAUAUUCGCAAGAACACCAGUGGCGAAGGCGGCUCACUGGCCCGAUACUGACGCUGAGGCACGAAAGCGUGGGGAGCAAACAGG
RNAcentral lists this ribosomal RNA (253 nucleotides) under uncultured bacterium. RNAcentral's name for it is "partial 16S ribosomal RNA". It matches the Rfam family "Bacterial small subunit ribosomal RNA", at positions 524 to 776 of the family's 1533-position model. The record is from RNAcentral.